GAUGAAGAACGCAGCGAAACGCGAUAAGUAAUGUGAAUUGCAGAAUUCAGUGAAUCAUCGAAUCUUUGAACGCACAUUGCGCCCAUUAGUAUUCUAGUGGGCAUGCCUGUUCGAGCGUCAUUUCAACCCUUAAGCCUAGCUUAGUAUUGGGAAUCGACUUUACUGUCGUUCCUCAAAUUCAACGGCGGAUUUAUAGCAAUCUCUGAACGUAGUAAUUUUUUUCCUCGUUUUUGAAAUACUAUAAACCUCAGCCGCUAAACCCCCAAUUUUUUUAUGGUUGACCUCGGAUCAGGUAGGAAUACCCGCUGAACUUAAGCAUAUCAAUAAGCUGAGGA
RNAcentral lists this unclassified non-coding RNA (335 nucleotides) under soil metagenome. Its description in RNAcentral is "partial contains 5.8S ribosomal RNA, internal transcribed spacer 2, and large subunit ribosomal RNA". The stretch from base 1 to 120 matches the Rfam family "5.8S ribosomal RNA", at positions 35 to 154 of the family's 154-position model. The record is from RNAcentral.